This 433-nucleotide ribosomal RNA is filed under the name uncultured bacterium. RNAcentral describes it as "partial 16S ribosomal RNA". It matches the Rfam family "Bacterial small subunit ribosomal RNA", at positions 29 to 507 of the family's 1533-position model. The record is from RNAcentral.
AACGAACGCUGGCGGCAUGCCUAACACAUGCAAGUCGAACGAGACCUUCGGGUCUAGUGGCGCAAGGGUGCGUAACGCGUGGGAACCUGCCCUUAGGUUCGGAAUAACUCCCCGAAAGGGGUGCUAAUACCGGAUAAUGUCUUCGGACCAAAGAUUUAUCGCCUUUGGAUGGGCCCGCGUUGGAUUAGCUAGUUGGUAGGGUAAAAGCCUACCAAGGCGACGAUCCAUAGCUGGUCUGAGAGGAUGAUCAGCCACACUGGGACUGAGACACGGCCCAGACUCCUACGGGAGGCAGCAGUGGGGAAUAUUGGACAAUGGGCGAAAGCCUGAUCCAGCAAUGCCGCGUGAGUGAUGAAGGCCUGAGGGUUGUAAAGCUCUGUUACCCGGGAUGAUAAUGACAGUACCGGGAGAAUAAGCUCCGGCUAACUCCGUG